AUUACCGAGUUUACAACUCCCAAACCCCUGUGAACAUACCUAUCGUUGCUUCGGCGGGUCUCGCCCCGGCGCCCUCGGGCCCGGACUCAGGCGCCCGCCGGAGGACCUAAACUCUUGUCUUUAUGAGUAUCUUCUGAGUGACACAAGUAAAUAAAUCAAAACUUUCAACAACGGAUCUCUUGGUUCUGGCAUCGAUGAAGAACGCAGCGAAAUGCGAUAAGUAAUGUGAAUUGCAGAAUUCCGUGAAUCAUCGAAUCUUUGAACGCACAUUGCGCCCGCUAGUAUUCUGGCGGGCAUGCCUGUUCGAGCGUCAUUUCAACCCUCAAGCCCCCCGGGCUUGGUGUUGGGGUUCGGCCCGCCCCUAGCGGCGCGCCGUCCCCGAAAUCUAGUGGCGGUCUCGCGAUAGCCUCCUCUGCGUAGUAGCAAUAUCUCGCACUGGGACUGAGCAAGGCCACGCCGUUAAACCCCCCACUUCUGAAGGUUGACCUCGGAUCAGGUAGGAAUACCCGCUGAACUUAAGCAUAUCAAUAGCCG
Molecule: ribosomal RNA, 534 nt
Filed under: fungal sp. P5N20
Lineage: Eukaryota; Fungi
Description: eukaryotic LSU rRNA
Rfam family: 5.8S ribosomal RNA (bases 160-313)
Source: RNAcentral